CUGAACCAGCCAAGUAGCGUGAAGGAUGACUGCCCUAUGGGUUGUAAACUUCUUUUAUAUGGGAAUAAAGUAUUCCACGUGUGGGAUUUUGUAUGUAUUAUAUGAAUAAGGAUCGGCUAACUCCGUGCCAGCAGCCGCGGUAAUACGGAGGAUCCGAGCGUUAUCCGGAUUUAUUGGGUUUAAAGGGAGCGUAGGUGGACUGGUAAGUCAGUUGUGAAAGUUUGCGG
This 227-nucleotide ribosomal RNA is filed under the name uncultured bacterium. RNAcentral describes it as "partial 16S ribosomal RNA". It matches the Rfam family "Bacterial small subunit ribosomal RNA", at positions 383 to 607 of the family's 1533-position model. The record is from RNAcentral.